Molecule: ribosomal RNA, 450 nt
Filed under: uncultured bacterium
Lineage: Bacteria
Description: bacterial SSU rRNA
Rfam family: Bacterial small subunit ribosomal RNA
Source: RNAcentral
CGGCAGGCUUAACACAUGCAAGUGAACGGGAUUGCUGGUGCUUGCACUGAGCGAUGAGAGUAGCGCACUGGUGAGUAACACGUGGGAACAUGCCUUUUGGUGGGGGACAACAGAGGGAAACUUCUGCUAAUACCGCAUAAGCCCUAAGGGGGAAAGAUUAAUCGCCGAAAGAUUGGCCCGCGGAAGAUUAGGUAGUUGGUGGGGUAAAGGCCUACCAAGCCGACGAUCUAUAGCUGGUCUGAGAGGACGAACAGCCACAUUGGAACUGAGACACGGUCCAGACUCCUACGGGAGGCAGCAGUGAGGAAUAUUGGGCAAUGGAGGAAACUCUGAACCCCCAGCCAUGCCGCGUGAGUGAAGAAGGUUUUCGAAUUGUAAAGCUCUUUCGGAUACGAGGACGAUGACGGUAGUAUCUAAAGAAGCCCCGGCAAACUUCGUGCCAGCAGCUGC